This is an RNA transcript of Malus domestica (apple), 959 nucleotides long. It is a transcript of the gene named protein NO VEIN-like, with no coding region annotated. Lineage: Eukaryota; Viridiplantae; Streptophyta; Magnoliopsida; Rosales; Rosaceae. The record is from RefSeq and is a predicted model, not a curated record.
CCUUUUGCUUCCAGAAACAAUGAGCUCUCUCUCACAGAAACCACAAGCUCUAUUCUUCCCUGUUUUUCUUCUCAGCAUCUUACAAAACUACUUCUUUCUUCAUAUUCUCUUUGUGUGUCUUCCUUCCCGACUCCCACUGUCUUCCUUCCCGACUCGAGUCAUCGGGUAAAACUCAUAUUCUUCCCUGAUUUCGACUUCUCUUUAACUCUUGAUCUUCACCAUGCAGUCACCAGCCUAUCUACCGAGUUGUACCAGAAAGACAUACCAUUUUCUCAUUAAGCUCAUACAGAAUGCGGAAGUCAAUGAAUACGAAGAAGGGGUUGAACCAACACUGGAAUUUGUGAUGACAAAGAAGGACAUAACUGGGAGUGGAGCUCCGGCUACUCUGCUGGUUUUUAAUAAUGAGGUUGGAUUUUCCAGGAAGAAUAUGGAUUCGAUCUGCAGUGUAGGACGUUCUACAAAGAAGGGGAAGAGACAUCAGGGCUUUAUUGGAGAAAAAGAGCUCCACGAUUGGCUAGCGUGAAUCUUGGUAUCUUCAUAUGCAUGCAAUGUUCAGGGAUCCACAUGGCUCCCAUAGCAGACAGCAUUGAUGCAAGCAUGCCGAUAUGGACAUUGGGAAGUUGUACAGACCCUCUUGCUCUUCGGAUGCAAUGUAAUUUUUUGUUCUCAUUGGUUUUGUGUUUGAUAAGUCAGUGAGCACAAUGAAAGAUUCAAGAGAUGUUAUCAGUGGUUUUUAAGUGCAUUAAUGUUGUAUGUAAAAGUAGGGCAUAUAUUGACUGGGGUUAAGUUCAUAGAUCAGAUUUCUCUCUGAUCUAUGAAUUUUUCAUUCGAAUAGGCAGGCCUUUGCAGAGGAAAUGCUCAUGUCUGUCUUUUAAGGAUUUCUUCCAAAUAUUUAGAUAUGUGGUCUGCACUUUGAGUCCUACUAUACAUCAAUCCAUUUUAAGGAUUUCUUCCAAAUA